AGAAGGGGGCAGGAGGGAAAGGUUGGGAGGGGAGGGGCGGAGGCAUCUGCAGCUCCCUAUCUCAACUCCUGCUCCCGCAUUCCUCCUGCCCCUUGGGGGGCUAGAGGACCGGGAAGGGAGAGAGAGGUGCCCUCAACUCCUGCCCUUCCCCCCCAUCUUCCCUCCCCAGGUGCCCCCAGCUUCCGGCAACUCCACCUGGGAGAAAAAAAAAUUAAAUGGGGGGAGAAAAUAAUUAUUAAUCAGAUUAAUAAAAAAAAAAAUACUGGUAAUUGAAAGGAGCGCCCAGCGCAGGUUUCCCUGGCAAUGGUUAGGCUCUUACAGGGAGGACUGUUCUGCGGAGCGCUCCGAACGGACAAACCACAAUAAAAAGUUCACGUUCAUGGAUGGAAUCCACAUGACUUCUUGUGGCCAAUCCAACUUGAAGAGAGCUACAUCCUUCCCAGUGGGGAGCCCAGGCAGCCCCCCACUCCACCCUAGACGGGAACAGGAGACACACGCCGCUGGAAACCUCCUAGCCAAGGCUGACCUGGCCGUGUUCUGACGAGCGAGCGGAGAGGGUUUAGACCCAUACUGGGCAGCCCUGCGGAGGCAGCAGGAGGGGUGAGAGUUGGGGGCGGCCUCCAGAACCCCCAAAGAGCCCGUCAUCCUCAGGCUCCUUUCUCAGAGAAAAUGACAUUUUUCCUUCUCCAAGACUAUCCCUGGUGUCAAGUCUCCUCAAUUCCUAGGUUCAGAGGGCAGCUUAUUCCCAAUCUUUUUAGAAUUGAAAAUAAAAUGAAAGUCCAAGA
Molecule: long non-coding RNA, 785 nt
Organism: Herpailurus yagouaroundi (jaguarundi)
Lineage: Eukaryota; Metazoa; Chordata; Mammalia; Carnivora; Felidae
Exons: 2
Source: RefSeq, a predicted model, not a curated record